This 312-nucleotide unclassified non-coding RNA is filed under the name Melitaea cinxia (Glanville fritillary). RNAcentral's name for it is "misc RNA ENSMCXG00005008578.1". Lineage: Eukaryota; Metazoa; Arthropoda; Insecta; Lepidoptera; Nymphalidae. The record is from RNAcentral.
CUCGAUUUCUCUGGGAUCCCAUCAUCAGUGCCUAGUUUCUCUAUCAUGGUAUCAAACUACCGAUAUCCCCUUUCCAACAAAAAAAGAAUUAUCAAAAUCGGUACACCCAAUAAAAAUUAUGCGGUAUAAUACAACGUAGGUCGACGAAAAAAGCGGCAAGUAAAAACGCAUUAUUAGAUAUAACUCGAAAAGUAGUUGUUAGAUCUCAAAUAAAUUUAAAUGGGACCAAUUGGCACACACUACCUUUCGAUUAAAAAAAAAAUUUGUCGAAAUCGGUCCACACGGUCAAAAGUUCUGAUAUAACAUACAUUA